RNAcentral lists this transfer RNA (73 nucleotides) under Candidatus Margulisiibacteriota bacterium. Its description in RNAcentral is "Candidatus Margulisbacteria bacterium (hot springs metagenome) tRNA-Arg". It matches the Rfam family "tRNA". From Rfam's summary of the family: Transfer RNA (tRNA) molecules are approximately 80 nucleotides in length. Their secondary structure includes four short double-helical elements and three loops (D, anti-codon, and T loops). Lineage: Bacteria; Bacillati; Candidatus Margulisiibacteriota. The record is from RNAcentral.
GCGCCUGUAGCUCAAUGGAUAGAGCAUCGGAUUUCUAAUCCGACGGUUGGAGGUUCGAGUCCUCUCAGGCGCG